This 302-nucleotide unclassified non-coding RNA is filed under the name uncultured Pleosporales. Its description in RNAcentral is "sequence contains ITS1". The stretch from base 1 to 105 matches the Rfam family "5.8S ribosomal RNA", at positions 50 to 154 of the family's 154-position model. Lineage: Eukaryota; Fungi; Ascomycota; Dothideomycetes; Pleosporales. The record is from RNAcentral.
GAAAUGCGAUAAGUAGUGUGAAUUGCAGAAUUCAGUGAAUCAUCGAAUCUUUGAACGCACAUUGCGCCCCUUGGUAUUCCAUGGGGCAUGCCUGUUCGAGCGUCAUUUGUACCCUCAAGCUCUGCUUGGUGUUGGGUGUUUGUCUUGCCUCUGCGUAUGGACUCGCCUGAAAGCAAUUGGCAGCCGGCACUUUGGCCUGUAGCGCAGCACAUUUUGCGCCGCUGGUUGAGGCUGUCGGCGUCCAUGAAGCCCAUACUUUUGCUCUUGACCUCGGAUCAGGUAGGGAUACCCGCUGAACUUAA